Molecule: ribosomal RNA, 424 nt
Filed under: uncultured bacterium
Lineage: Bacteria
Description: partial 16S ribosomal RNA
Rfam family: Bacterial small subunit ribosomal RNA
Source: RNAcentral
AAUUUUGGACAAUGGGCGCAAGCCUGAUCCAGCCAUGCCGCGUGUGUGAAGAAGGUCUUCGGAUUGUAAAUCACUCUAAGUUGGGAGGAAGGGCAGUAAGUUACUACCUUGCUGUUUUGACGUUACCGACAGAAUAAGCACCCGCUAACUUCGUGCCAGCACGCGCGGUAAUACGAAGGGUGCAAGCGUUAUUCGGAAUUACUGGGGGUAAAGCGCGCGUAGGUGGGUUGUCAAGUUGGAAGUGGAGGCCCCGGGCUCAACCUGGGAACUGCUUUCAAAACUGGCAAGCUAGAGUAUGGCAGAGGGUGGUGGAAUUUCCUGUGUAGCGGUGAAAUGCGUAGAUAUAGGAAGGAACAUCAGUGGCGAAGGCGACUACCUGGACUGAUACUGACACUGAGGUGCGAAAGCGUGGGGAGCAAACAGG